AUUGAACGCUGGCGGCAGGCCUAACACAUGCAAGUCGAGCGGCAGCGGAAAGUAGCUUGCUACUUUGCCGGCGAGCGGCGGACGGGUGAGUAAUGUCUGGGAAACUGCCUGAUGGAGGGGGAUAACUACUGGAAACGGUGGCUAAUACCGCAUAACGUCGCAAGACCAAAGUGGGGGACCUUCGGGCCUCACGCCAUCGGAUGUGCCCAGAUGGGAUUAGCUAGUAGGUGGGGUAAUGGCUCACCUAGGCGACGAUCCCUAGCUGGUCUGAGAGGAUGACCAGCCACACUGGAACUGAGACACGGUCCAGACUCCUACGGGAGGCAGCAGUGGGGAAUAUUGCACAAUGGGCGCAAGCCUGAUGCAGCCAUGCCGCGUGUGUGAAGAAGGCCUUCGGGUUGUAAAGCACUUUCAGCGAGGAGGAAGGCAUCACACUUAAUACGUGUGGUGAUUGACGUUACUCGCAGAAGAAGCACCGGCUAACUCCGUGCCAGCAGCCGCGGUAAUACGGAGGGUGCAAGCGUUAAUCGGAAUUACUGGGCGUAAAGCGCACGCAGGCGGUUUGUUAAGUCAGAUGUGAAAUCCCCGCGCUUAACGUGGGAACUGCAUUUGAAACUGGCAAGCUAGAGUCUUGUANAGGGGGGUAGAAUUCC
Molecule: ribosomal RNA, 653 nt
Filed under: uncultured prokaryote
Description: bacterial SSU rRNA
Rfam family: Bacterial small subunit ribosomal RNA
Source: RNAcentral